This 250-nucleotide long non-coding RNA is filed under the name Olea europaea (common olive). RNAcentral describes it as "long non-coding RNA (OEUR_LNC009147)". The record is from RNAcentral. Lineage: Eukaryota; Viridiplantae; Streptophyta; Magnoliopsida; Lamiales; Oleaceae.
UGUUAUGGACCGUUCGAAGUAACCUAUUUUAUAGUGUUGCUCACGGUUCCCGCACCAUUCCUUGGAAGGCUAUGUUAUUAUUGUUGAGGCCCAAUUAUUUGAGUCGAGCCUUGAUCCACCACUUAGCCCUAAUUGUAACUUACCUUUUUUGGACAAUACUCUUGGCAUAUAUUCCCCUCAACCUCUCGGCCUCCAUUAGAGUGAAAAACCCCCCUCUUUGUGAGCUUCUCUCUCUCGGCCUCUUCUUCCC